This 155-nucleotide ribosomal RNA is filed under the name Lepraria isidiata. RNAcentral describes it as "5.8S ribosomal RNA". It matches the Rfam family "5.8S ribosomal RNA". Rfam says of the family: 5.8S ribosomal RNA (5.8S rRNA) is a component of the large subunit of the eukaryotic ribosome. It is transcribed by RNA polymerase I as part of the 45S precursor that also contains 18S and 28S rRNA. Functionally, it is thought that 5.8S rRNA may be involved in ribosome translocation. The record is from RNAcentral. Lineage: Eukaryota; Fungi; Ascomycota; Lecanoromycetes; Lecanorales; Stereocaulaceae.
CAACAACGGAUYUCUUGGUUCUGGCAUCGAUGAAGAACGCAGCGAAAUGCGAUAAGUAAUGUGAAUUGCAGAAUUCAGUGAAUCAUCGAAUCUUUGAACGCACAUUGCGCCCCUYGGACUUCCGGGGGGCAUGCCUGUUCGAGCGUCAUUGCMCC